AGUGAACGCUGGCGGUAGGCCUAACACAUGCAAGUCGAACGGCAGCACAGUAAGAGCUUGCUCUUACGGGUGGCGAGUGGCGUACGGGUGAGGAAUACAUCGGAAUCUACUUUUUCGUGGGGGAUAACGUAGGGAAACUUACGCUAAUACCGCAUACGACCUACGGGUGAAAGCAGUGGAUCUUCGGACCUUGCGCGGUUGAAUGAGCCGAUGUCGGAUUAGCUAGUUGGUGGGUUAAAUGCCCACCAAGGCGACGAUCCGUAGCUGGUCUGAGAGGAUGAUCAGCCACACUGGAACUGAGACACGGUCCAGACUCCUACGGGAGGCAGCAGUGGGGAAUAUUGGACAAUGGGCGCAAGCCUGAUCCAGCCAUACCGCGUGUGUGAAGAAGGCCUUCGGGUUGUAAAGCCCUUUUGUUGGGAAAGAAAAGCAGCAGGUUAAUACCACGCUGUUCUGACGGUACCCAAAGAAUAAGCACCGGCUAACUUCGUG
Molecule: ribosomal RNA, 492 nt
Filed under: uncultured bacterium
Lineage: Bacteria
Description: partial 16S ribosomal RNA
Rfam family: Bacterial small subunit ribosomal RNA
Source: RNAcentral